UCUACUGGAUCAGAUUCUCUUCAGUAUAUUUCUCCACAAGGUUUCAUACAAUGCAAUCAAAUCACCUUUCAGUCUUCUUUUUGAUAAAACAAAUGGAUGGACUUGUUACAGUCUUCACAGUGAGAAGAAUGUUAUACAAACCACUGAGAAUGCAUGUCAAAUCGCUCAUCCAUCAUUACUCAGCUGAAUAUCAGCUUUCCAGGAUGUAGUUCUUCACUCUAUGGGGUCUUGUGCACGUCAUUUUCAACACACACCAUUGUGCAGCACUGCGAAGAAAAGUAGUCCUGCUCCUUAGAAUAUUUAUGGCUUUCUCAUGCAGAGGCUCACCUAUAACUAUGAUUGGGAAGCUGACUGGUAUCAACCAAAAUGUAUGAUGAACAAGUUUCCUUUACCAUCUCCUCACUGGAAGUGCAAUUUGUGUUUCUUUCCCACACCUGGUUAAUAGUUCUUGCAAAAUUUGUAGAAAUGUGACUUUGUGACUUAGUGACCUUUAUCCCUCACUCAAACUUGACUAAAAUUGCCCUGUGGCUUUAAAAAUCAUUAUAGACAGUGGGAUAGAUGUUUGCCCAGACAACACAAUCACAUUAAAAUUAUUGCUUUAGGAAAACAUGGCAGAAAAUAGAUUGAACAGAGCUUGGUUUAUUUUGGCAUUUUCACAAUUUAUUUCUUGGUUUGAUUUUGCAAAUGUGAAUCACAAAUGUGUGGUGCUUAUUAUUCUCAUGUAAGAGUCUGGUUUCAUCUUAUUCACACACUGGGAGAUCAAUGUGGUUUUGGCUUUGCAAUCUAUAUCCGGGGGGAUUCAAAUCCAGCUGUUAUAUUAUACAAAACAUUGAAGUUUAAUUAACUCAUGAUUACUAAAAAAAAAAUAAUGAAAGAACUAAAUAACUUUAUUUUGUAGAGACAAUGGCUU
Long non-coding RNA from Cygnus atratus (black swan), 910 nucleotides. RefSeq lists it as uncharacterized. The transcript has 4 exons. The record is from RefSeq and is a predicted model, not a curated record. NCBI's taxonomy places the organism in Eukaryota, Metazoa, Chordata, Aves, Anseriformes, Anatidae.